GACGAACGCUGGCGGCGUGCUUAACACUUGCAAGUCGAACGAUGACGCACAGCUCGCUGGGUGGAUUAGUGGCGAACGGGUGAGUAACACGUGGGUGAUCUGCCCUGCACUUCGGGAUAAGCCUGGGAAACUGGGCCUAAUACCGGAUAUGACCAAAGGCUGCAUGGCUUUUGGUGGAAUGUUUUUCGGUGCAGGGUGAGCCCGCGGCCUAUCAGCUUGUUGGGGGGGUAAUGGCCUACCAAGGCGACGACGGGUAGCCGGCCUGAGAGGGGGACCGGCCACACUGGGACUGAGACACGGCACAGACUCCUACGGGAGGCAGCAGUGGGGAAUAUUGCACAAUGGGCGAAAGCCUGAUGCAGCGACGCCGCGUGAGGGAUGACGGCCCUCGGGUUGUAAACCUCUUUCACCAGGGACGAAGCGCAAGUGACGGUACCUGGAGAAGAAGCACCGGCCAACUACGUGCCAGCCGCCGCGGUAA
This 481-nucleotide ribosomal RNA is filed under the name uncultured bacterium. RNAcentral describes it as "partial 16S ribosomal RNA". It matches the Rfam family "Bacterial small subunit ribosomal RNA", at positions 28 to 523 of the family's 1533-position model. The record is from RNAcentral.